Non-coding RNA from Schizosaccharomyces pombe (fission yeast), 332 nucleotides. The record is from the annotation of a GenBank genome assembly. NCBI's taxonomy places the organism in Eukaryota, Fungi, Ascomycota, Schizosaccharomycetes, Schizosaccharomycetales, Schizosaccharomycetaceae.
UUUAGCAUGACACCAUACUUUGAAUGCAAAUGGUCCAUUGAUUGAACUUCAAUAUCAGUAUUAAUCUUGUCCAACUCAUCGAUUACAUCUUGGAUGCCAGAUAUGAUCACAGCGCGCAUAUCCAUGCCACCGGUGACCCUACUGUCACCGACGGUUUUACUAUGUGUGGGAGACUCAAGAGUAGGACGACCUAAUAAAUUAAGCAUAGAAGAGUACAUCUGAACUGAAACAGGUUCGUGACUUUGAACCAAUUUUUCGUUAGAGGGAAUGUCUCUUUUUUGAGAAGGGCUAGAAGAGUUCGAUGAAGAAACGAUUAACUUCUCAUUUUCAUC